This 352-nucleotide ribosomal RNA is filed under the name Antiporus femoralis. RNAcentral's name for it is "partial 12S ribosomal RNA". The record is from RNAcentral. Lineage: Eukaryota; Metazoa; Arthropoda; Insecta; Coleoptera; Dytiscidae.
UUUAAAUGUAAAUAUUUAAAUUAAGGAGUAAUAGUUAUGUUCUUAAAAUUUAAAGAUUUUGGCGGUAUUUUAGUCUAUUUAGAGGAACCUGUUCUGUAAUUGAUAGUCCACGAUAAAUUGAACCUAAUUUUAAAAAUUUGUAUAUCGUCGUUAUUAAAUAUUUUAUAAGAAUUUUAAUGUUUAAUUUUUUGUAUAAAAAAAUAUAUCAGAUCAAGGUGCAGUUUAUAGUUAGGUAGAAAUGGGUUACAAUAAAUUUAUUUAUUAUGGAUUUAUAUAUUAAAAUAUAUAAUGAAGGAGGAUUUAAUAGUAAUAGAAUUUAAAUAAAUUUUGUGAUUUUAGCUCUAAAAUGUGU